AAAAUGACUCUCGGCAACGGAUAUCUCGGCUCUCGCAUCGAUGAAGAACGUAGCGAAAUGCGAUACUUGGUGUGAAUUGCAGAAUCCCGUGAACCAUCGAGUCUUUGAACGCAAGUUGCGCCCGAAGCCAUUAGAGCUGAGGGCACGUCUGCCUGGGUGUCAAAC
Molecule: ribosomal RNA, 165 nt
Filed under: Phanera apertilobata
Lineage: Eukaryota; Viridiplantae; Streptophyta; Magnoliopsida; Fabales; Fabaceae
Description: Bauhinia apertilobata 5.8S ribosomal RNA
Rfam family: 5.8S ribosomal RNA
About the family: 5.8S ribosomal RNA (5.8S rRNA) is a component of the large subunit of the eukaryotic ribosome.
Source: RNAcentral